GCGCAGCAGGCGCGAAAACUUUACAAUGCGGGAAACCGUGAUAAGGGAAUCUCGAGUGCCAGCAUAUAAUGUUGGCUGUCCAGAUGCCUAAAAAGCAUCUGUUAGCAAGGGCCGGGCAAGACCGGUGCCAGCCGCCGCGGUAACACCGGCGGCCCGAGUGGUAACCGCUUUUAUUGGGUCUAAAGGGUCUGUAGCCGGCCAAGUAAGUCCCUUGGGAAAUCUGGCAGCUUAACUGUCAGGCUGCCAGGGGAUACUGCUGGGCUUGGGACCGGGAGAGGUGAGAGGUACCUUGGGGGUAGGGGUGAAAUCUUGUGAUCCUCGGGGGACCACCAGUGGCGAAGGCGUCUCACCAGAACGGGUCCGACGGUAAGGGACGAAAGCUAGGGGCACGAACCGGAUUAGAUACCCCCGUAGUCC
Molecule: ribosomal RNA, 417 nt
Filed under: uncultured archaeon
Lineage: Archaea
Description: bacterial SSU rRNA
Rfam family: Archaeal small subunit ribosomal RNA
Source: RNAcentral